This 1296-nucleotide long non-coding RNA is filed under the name Homo sapiens (human). RNAcentral describes it as "HSALNT0097954". Lineage: Eukaryota; Metazoa; Chordata; Mammalia; Primates; Hominidae. The record is from RNAcentral.
GUCAGGAACUUCUGGUUUCUCAACACCAUAAAAGAAGAUCUAGAGUGUCUUCCUUUACCCGGAUGUGGAAUAGUACUAAAAAUAAGAAUGCUGCAAUUGCUGGGAGGUUGCAGCAUGGGCUCUGGUGAGAAUAGAAAGACAGGAGGAUGCUGGCUGCAGCCUGCAAAUUGUCAGCCAGUUGUGCCAGAUGUUGUCAUCCGCGGAGAGUGGGGAAGAAGGACCAGGGUGGCUUCUGAGCUUUUCAGGUUAAGCCUGAGUUUGGUCUUCUGUUACUUGGAACUGAAAUAAUGUGCAUUGACACACCUAACAAGUCAAAGUAUUGUCUUUUGCUGGUCUGCUCUGGUCCUGGAAACAUCCACUGAUAGAAUCACUGGUCUGGGACAAAUUGUGGUACCCAAAGACCUCAGGAAGCACUUAGAAGCAUUACUCCUGAAGUCCCAUUCGUCCCAAGAAGAGUUGCUGGCUGGAGGAGACAAUAUGUAAACAUGUCAUGACAAGAUGGUGUGGUGAGUGCUAUGUUGGCAUGUUGGAGGCAAGCAUAGCCAUGCUCACAGUGAGGAAUGACUUAGGAGCGCAACCACAGCCCCAUGCUACCUUCCACCAUUUGGAUAAAAGAAGGAAAAUGCCUUCAAAUUGCGAUCCAUCAAGUCUGAGAUAAUCUGUUAUGGCAACGUAAGAAGCUAAUACAAGAUGCAGGAGUGAAGCAGCGAGGUCUGGAAAAAAGCUAUUGCAAAAAUACAGGUAAGAAAUGAAGCUACCUUGGCCUAGAGUGGGAGCAGUGAUGGGGCAAGAGGCUGUCCCACUGUGAAGGUAGGCUUUGCUGAGGUAUUAGAUGUGGGGUAUGAAGGAAAGGAGUCAAGGAGGACUGUGACAUUAAUAGUGUCAGACUGAGUAACUGAAGGGUGGAAUUGACAUCUGAAAGGGGGAGACAGGGAGAAUCAGGUUUGUGUCGGGGAAGGACAGGUGUUUGAGUUGCUUAUUAGACACCAAGUGGCUAUGUCGAGUAGGUAGGUGGAUAUGAGAGCCUGUUACCUGGAUCAGAUAUAUACACCUGGGUAACACAGGCAUAGUGAUGGCACGAAAAGCCAAGAGCCUGGAUGAGCAAGCCAGGGAGUGAGAGUAGACACAGAGGAGGCAUAACAGGGAAGGAACACUUGGAUACACCCAUGUUACAAGGUCAGGGAGGUUAGAAAGACCUGAUGAAGGAGACUGAGAAGGAGCAACAGGAGAGAUAGGAAGAAAACCUGGUGAGCAUGGUGUCCCAGGAGGCACAUGAAGAAAGUACAGGGUCAGUCA